RNAcentral lists this ribosomal RNA (384 nucleotides) under uncultured bacterium. Its description in RNAcentral is "bacterial SSU rRNA". It matches the Rfam family "Bacterial small subunit ribosomal RNA", at positions 28 to 417 of the family's 1533-position model. The record is from RNAcentral.
GACGAACGCUGGCGGCGUGCCUAACACAUGCAAGUCGAACGGGGGUAGCAAUACCUCAGUGGUGAACGGGUGCGUAACACGUGAAGAAUUUGUCUAACGGCGGGGGAUAGCCGGCCCAACGGGCCGGGUAAUACCCGCGUACGACCUCUGGAGGGCAUCCUCUGGUGGUGAAAGCCGCAAGGCGCCGAUAGAGAACUUCGCGGCCUAUCAGCUAGUUGGCGGGGUAAUGGCCCACCAAGGCGACGACGGGAGCUGGUCCGAGAGGAUGACCAGCCACAUUGGGACUGAGACACGGCCCAGACUCCUACGGGAGGCAGCAGUGGGGAAUAUUAGCGCAAUGGGCGAAAGCCUGACGCAGCGACGCCGCGUGUGGGAUGACGGCCU